CAGACAUGUCAGAAUGAAAUUGCUAUGCAGACGGAUCCCCCUCCACGGAUACACUACAAGUCCAUGCAGGCGCGACCACGUGUCAGGUCAGCUGGACUGCAAGUUCCAAUUCAGGAUCUCUGCCAAAUCCAGGAUCACCGUCACCAUUAUCCGCAUGUUCGCUCCCGUCUGUGUCUCCAUUUUGAAUACUGUGUCUCGAGCUGCUCUGUUUCCACCACGUUAAACUCGCCCGCAUGAUCUGAUUCCACGACACCGGCAUCCUCUUAAAUAAACUCCUCUUCUUGAAGGUGGAACGAGUCUAUUGACUACUCACUGUUACUCGAUUCUGUUGAAAUAUCCGAGCCAGAGUCCGACAUCGCCACAUCUGCCAUGCUGUCUGUGUAUUCAACUGGUGGACUGUAUUCUACUUGUGACGUCAGAACACGGCGUCGGCUGUUUCCGGUAGCACCGAUGUCAACAUCGGUGGUCGACAUACUAAAUCGUGAUUUAUUAAAUACUGUGGGCAUAGUGUCAUAAAUAACACAUUAUGUUGCACCACAAAUAGCAUUUACUAUCAUCAGUAGAAUUUCAUGUUUAUCAUUUCGUAGGCCCUUUAAGUCCCGUCACUCUUGUCUAGUGUCGUCUUGCACUUCCUGUUUUGUUUUGAAACUCACCUUUCCCUCUCGUUCCAGGUCACUUAACUUCCUGCCUUUGUGUGUUUUCCCGCUUCUGUGAUCGUCUGCCCCACCCCUGAUUGUUGUCACGUCAAAUCAAAUUUAUUUAUAUAGCCCAAUAUCACAAAUUAUACAUUUGUCUCAGUGUGCUUUACAGAUUUAUGUCCUUAAGGCAUGCUUGAAGUUUAGCCAAUUGAUUGGUUUCGUCUGUUUUAAUUGAUAGAUAUAAUUGGGUAUCAUCUGCAUAACAAUGAAAGUUUAUAGAGUGGUUUCUUAUAUUGCCCAAAUAUGACCCGUGUCCCCUUACCUCAUGUAUAAAUAGUCCUGUCUCCACUUGUCUUGUGUCAGUCCGUCUUGUUAAUCUAGUCAAGUGUCUUGUAAGAUUAAUCAAGUGUAUGGUUGUU
This 1057-nucleotide long non-coding RNA is filed under the name Cottoperca gobio. RNAcentral's name for it is "lncRNA (ENSCGOG00000014261.1)". Lineage: Eukaryota; Metazoa; Chordata; Actinopteri; Perciformes; Bovichtidae. The record is from RNAcentral.